AAGUCGUAACAAGGUUUCCGUAGGUGAACCUGCGGAAGGAUCAUUAUUGAAUAUUCUUGAUGGGUUGUAGCUGGCUCUUUGGAGCAUGUGCACGCCUGUCUUGAUUUAAUUCAUCCACCUGUGCACCUUUUGUAGUCUUGGGGGUUAAGCAGUCAACUAUCGGAUGUCAUCCGGAUGUGAGGAAUGCUGAGUGCGAAAGCAUACAGCUUUUCUCAAACUGACUUGUGGUCCCUCAAGUAUUAUGUAUUCAUAUACCACUAGUAUGUUGCAGAAUGUGAUCAAUGGGCUUAUGCCUAUAAUAAUCAUAUACAACUUUCAGCAACGGAUCUCUUGGCUCUC
This 339-nucleotide unclassified non-coding RNA is filed under the name Arachnion album. Its description in RNAcentral is "partial internal transcribed spacer region". The stretch from base 1 to 46 matches the Rfam family "Eukaryotic small subunit ribosomal RNA", at positions 1786 to 1831 of the family's 1831-position model. The record is from RNAcentral. Lineage: Eukaryota; Fungi; Basidiomycota; Agaricomycetes; Agaricales; Lycoperdaceae.